GACGAACGCUGGCGGCGUGCUUAACACAUGCGAGUCGAACGGAAAGGCCCUGCUUUUGUGGGGUGCUCGAGUGGCGAACGGGUGAGUAACACGUGAGUAACCUGCCCUUGACUUUGGGAUAACUUCAGGAAACUGGGGCUAAUACCGGAUAGGAUCUCCUGCUGCAUGGUGGGGGUUGGAAAGUUUCGGCGGUUGGGGAUGGACUCGCGGCUUAUCAGCUUGUUGGUGGGGUAGUGGCUUACCAAGGCUUUGACGGGUAGCCGGCCUGAGAGGGUGACCGGCCACAUUGGGACUGAGAUACGGCCCAGACUCCUACGGGAGGCAGCAGUGGGGAAUAUUGCACAAUGGGCGGAAGCCUGAUGCAUCAACGCCGCGUGCGGGAUGACGGCCUUCGGGUUGUAAACCGCUUUCGCCUGUGACGAAGCGUGAGUGACGGUAAUGGGUAAAGAAGCACCGGCUAACUACGUG
RNAcentral lists this ribosomal RNA (468 nucleotides) under uncultured bacterium. RNAcentral's name for it is "partial 16S ribosomal RNA". It matches the Rfam family "Bacterial small subunit ribosomal RNA", at positions 28 to 507 of the family's 1533-position model. The record is from RNAcentral.